RNAcentral lists this ribosomal RNA (467 nucleotides) under uncultured bacterium. RNAcentral's name for it is "partial 16S ribosomal RNA". It matches the Rfam family "Bacterial small subunit ribosomal RNA", at positions 28 to 507 of the family's 1533-position model. The record is from RNAcentral.
GACGAACGCUGGCGGCGUGCUUAACACAUGCAAGUCGAACGGAAAGGCCCUGCUUUUGUGGGGUGCUCGAGUGGCGAACGGGUGAGUAACACGUGAGUAACCUGCCCUUGACUUUGGGAUAACUUCAGGAAACUGGGGCUAAUACCGGAUAGGAGCUCCUGCUGCAUGGUGGGGUUGGAAAGUUUCGGCGGUUGGGGAUGGACUCGCGGCUUAUCAGCUUGUUGGUGGGGGAGUGGCUUACCAAGGCUUUGACGGGUAGCCGGCCUGAGAGGGUGACCGGCCACAUUGGGACUGAGAUACGGCCCAGACUCCUACGGGAGGCAGCAGUGGGGAAUAUUGCACAAUGGGCGGAAGCCUGAUGCAGCAACGCCGCGUGCGGGAUGACGGCCUUCGGGUUGUAAACCGCUUUCGCCUGUGACGAAGCGUGAGUGACGGUAAUGGGUAAAGAAGCACCGGCUAACUACGUG